UAAAGCUUUAGAUCACUUGUAUAUCCAUCUAGUUGUCACAAGAUCCAUCGUAUUAAGACUCGAUAUUGUGCUAAUUGGUCUAAUCUUUGGCUGAUGCACGUUGUAGUACAGUUGCUUCAAAAUUGAAUGGUCAUUAACCUGGCAGCUCUGAUAUAGUCUAUUUGUCUACUAUUGAAUGAGAUGGCUGUUGUCUCUAAACGCCUAUUAUAUUUCCAUACAAAAA
Molecule: long non-coding RNA, 223 nt
Filed under: Hordeum vulgare
Lineage: Eukaryota; Viridiplantae; Streptophyta; Magnoliopsida; Poales; Poaceae
Description: long non-coding RNA (HVUL_LNC017238)
Source: RNAcentral